UGGUUUUACUCUAUGACGCGAUGCCUUACCAAAGAGUUGUCCGGCUAGUCUGGAAUUAAUGUGUGUCUUCAGCGUCUCUCUUACUUGGAAUGGGGACGUUCGGUAAUCGCGCACCGUCAAAAUCAGCUGCUCGCCUCGAGUCCAGUUUAGGACUCCUCGUUCUAGUCCAUUAGUCGCAGCAGCCGCUGUCGCUGCUUCCGCUUUGGCUGGAUGCCGCAGCUGCCGUGCGGCUUUGGGGCUGGGCUACGUCAUGAGACGACGGGGAGCGAUUGAGUAGGAGUUCCUCAUCAUCGGUAUCAAGGCGAGCGGCCUUUGCGGCCGUGUCCCGGCGGUUCCCAGCCACCGAAGGAAGGCCAGAUCAUGGCAUCUGUCGGCGUUCUCCCCACAUACUUCAAGUACAUUAGCGUGGCGCCCGGCGGAUCAGCUCGUAGGACUUUGCGGGUGCGGGAGAAAUACAUUGUCGUGUUGGUGCUGGCCACCUUCCUGAUGGUGUGCAUCGGGGCCGUGUUUUACCUGCCUGAACUGCGCGCGUCCAACGCCUAUCGCCAUAUCAAAAAUGCUGGGCCGGACCUGCUGCUACCCCCGCCGCAAGUGAUCGAAGACAACGUUCCCCGUCACAACGGUAUUGUCGCCGACGAGGAAGACCCGCAUAGGGCCGAGGACCGAAACAAGCUCCAGGAGAAAAUCAUUCAGGACCUCGGUCAGGGCCUCCCUAUGCAGGUCGCCAGGCCCGAAGCAGCCAGGCCUGCGUCUCCGUCUAAACUACCGUCGACUGCAGCCCGGCCUCCACAGAGCCCGGGUCUCCCCGCUGUCGACGCUAAAGCGCCCCAGGUUUCGCAUGUUCCUGACGCACAGAGAGAGGCGGAGAACCGCGAAAGAAGACAAAAAGUUAGAGAGAUGAUGAAGCACGCCUGGGACAACUAUGAGCGCUAUGCCUGGGGCGAGAAUGAGCUGCGACCCGUGUCCAAAAAGGGCCACUCAGCGGGCAUCUUUGGCAAGACUGCCAUGGGAGCCACCAUCGUGGAUGGCAUGGACACCCUCUAUCUCAUGGGCAUGGCCGAGGAAUUCCAGCGUGCUCGAAAUUGGGUGGCAGAGAACCUCAGUUUGAAUGACGUAAGUUCGGACAUCUCUGUCUUCGAGACCAACAUUCGCUUUGUAGGUGGCCUGCUUUCAUGCUACGCCUUGACUGGGGACAACAUGUUCAAGGACAAGGCUGAGGAAAUUGCCCGUCUGUUGCUUCCAGCCUUCAACACACCAAAGGGUAUACCCCAUGCCCUCAUCAACAUCAAGACGGGUGUAAGCAAGAACUAUGCUUGGGCCUCAAGUGGUGGCUCUAUUCUGGCUGAGCUGGGCACCAUGCACCUAGAGUUCUCCUACCUUAGUGACAUCACGGGCAACCCGAUCUUCCGCGAGAAAGUGGACAAAGUGCGACAGGUUUUGGCCGACCUUGACAAGCCCAAGGGCCUCUACCCCAACUACAUCAACCCCAAGACAGGACGCUGGGGACAGCACCACAUGUCUAUGGGAGCCCUGGGAGACAGCUUUUACGAGUACCUCCUGAAGGCAUGGAUCCAGUCUGAUGGUGAAGACGUACAGGCCAAGCGAUUACUGUUGGAUGCCGUCAAGGCCAUCGAGUCAAAGAUGUUGCUGCAGUCUAGGAGUGGGUUCCUCUACCUAGCUGAGAUCAAGUAUGACCGAGUGGAGCCAAAAAUGGACCAUCUGGCCUGCUUUGCAGGUGGCUUCUACGCCCUCAUUUCCCAAACACUUGGGGAGGACCCAUCGGUUACGAAGGACCACUUCAUGGAUGUAGCAAAGAACAUCACCAACACUUGUCAUGAGUCCUACGACAGGACGCCGACCAAGUUGGGCCCAGAGUCCUUCCGUUUCACAGAGCAGUUGGAGGCCAAAGCCACUAAGCAGAAUGAGAAGUACUACAUUCUACGCCCAGAAGUGAUUGAGUCGUACUUCUACCUGUGGAGGAUCACCAAGGACCAAAAGUAUCGUGAUUGGGGCUGGGAAGCUGUUCAGGCUCUGGAGAAGCACUGCCGUGUGGACGGUGGCUACACCGGCCUGAAGAACGUUUACCAAACAGACGGUCCCAAGGACGACGUCCAACAGAGCUUUUUUCUUGCGGAAACGCUCAAGUACCUCUACCUGCUCUUCUCGGACGACUCAGUGCUCCCACUAGACCAGUGGGUUCUGAACACAGAGGCACAUCCGCUACCCAUCAAGAACCGGAACCCAUCUUACAGGCCGAGCAUCAGGUGAUUGGGCGCACCAACUACCCAUCACUCCGCAGCCGUUCUUCCGCCCUCCGGUGUCCAACCUCCGAUCAGAGUGUAUAAGUCCACCAUCGUCUGGGCCGUGCCAGCGACGGUUGGACCACACGAGCAUCUAGUGACUGAACCAUAGACUAGGCAAACAGCAAUGACAGUGGAGCCGACGUGAGUCACCUUCUGCGUGAUCUUACGGACUAACCGCAGAUGGGUGAGGGAAGGUGAACAGGCUGAGCAGGAGAAACUGUAAUGGCUGGACAGUUUCUCACGGGAUGUAGCCAGUCAACGCUACAGUGAGUGUGUAUCUGCUUUUGCACAUGGCUGCAAUGUGGUUGGAACGUCGCCAUCGUCUUCUACUUGGGAGAGUUGCAAUGAACACUAGUUGUUGCUUUGGGGGGCCUUCUUCUGCGUUGUUUUUUCCUUUGGCCUUUUUUCACAGCGAUGUGUCUGACACAUGAACUCAUGUGCUUUCUUCAGCAUGUCGCUGAAUCACUGCCGUGGUGCUGCGACAUUCCCCAGUGAUAUUUCUAGAGGUUCCCCCUAUUUCCUUCCAUUUUUUUUUCAUCAUUUCUGAUCAUGAUUUUCAGAGCUGUUUAGUUAAUAUAAUAUGAGACCAUAGAUUUUGUGCACAGGGUGAAAAGGUGUGAGUGUUUUAUCUGUUUUCAUUUUUUUUUGGUAGAAGGCAAGUGUGAUGAGUGUGGUAUAUACAUAUAUAUAUAUUUUCUUUUUCAUAACUAUGUGCUUCGCUGCAGUUCCAGGCUCGGCAAUAAGCAAGUAUUUUAAAGAUUCAGGAAACAGCAGAUAUUGCUGUCACGCUGCUUUAGAUGUCAGCAGUCAGUCCUAUGGCUCUUUGUGCAAGAUAGCACAAAUUACGAGUGCUGUACAUAUACUUACAACCUGCUGGCCCAGGCUACUGCUGCAUCCACUUAAAGCAAAUGAAAAUAAACAUCACUACACUCAGGAAUGCAGUGUUUGCUACUAAUCUCACAUGUUCGAGCUGCAGUUUAUUUUUUUGUUGUCCCAUAUGAUCGUGCUUGUUGCAUUACCCGAGGUCAUUUUCAUGCUGCAGCUCGUCAUAAACAGCAAAUCAAAUGUUUACAUUUUCUUGCCCGCUUAUUGCAGUAUUUUCGUUUUGCUCACACAUUUCUUGUUCAAGCAUCUCAAAACAUGGUAGUUCACUGAAUUUGUGUAAGCGAGGGUUUUUAUUUUCUUACAUAUAGCAACUUGAAUUUUUGGAUGAGAGCUAUGCACAUUAGGUCAUUUCUUAUUUAAACUCUCUGUCCCGAGUCCCAGCAGAGGCAUAGAAACAAUAUUACUGACGUAGAUAUUAGGUAGGCUUUCUACACAUAAUCAACGAAGCAUACGUGCCAUCUGGGUUGCACUACAGCAAAGUGCGACUUGCAGGACCUAGGGCAAAGGAGGUAUAUGCAGCCCAGUGCAGAGUGGUUUGACCACUUCAGUGAUGGAACCACUCAAGCACUUUGGAAACAUUAUGUGGAAAGUAUUAGUUAUCUUUCUACACCACUUCUGCACAUUGAAAAACACUUGUAUACGUCUGUUCAGCGUCAUGUGUGAUGAUGCGUUGUCUAUAUUGUUGUACUCUGACAAAGAAACAUGAUGAACUUAGAAACAGUUCUCUUUUGUACUCGACACGGUAGUACUCUGUUGUCAAGCAUUACUCUCUUGAGAACUACAGGGCUACAGAUUUGUUUGUUAUGGAGCUGAACUUUGUUGAAACCUUUUUCUACAAAACUCUUUGCUCUAUGCCGUCUUUGAGUGUGCACUAAUGACUUCAGCACUGAAUUCAUGAUGUUGCAGUGAUCUGUUGUGUACUCACCGAAUGCUGCGAGCAGUCCUGGCGCAAAGGCUUUGAAUGGAGCAGCAUUCUACUAGCUCUGGUUCAUGAAACUGGUGGUUCUGUGCCACUGACAUUGCAUUCAGACGCUCACAAUAUCUCUUUGCGAAGUGUGUACUUUAAUAUCUUUUUAAAGUUUUACUGGGCACCAUGAUUUCUAGGUAGAUGGUGUGAAAACGCCCCUGGCAAUUUGCUCACUUAGUGAAUUGAUGACGCAUCACCUAGAGACAAAGAAUGCACUUGUAGUUUGUGAAGAAUGGCAAUAGCUUUCUGUUGUUGCAGAAAAAUACUGCAAGGACUUGUGAUUGUUCUUCUAGGCAUAAAUUGCUUGAAUGUAUCUUGUAACCAGGCUGUAGUAUUGAAAGUUUUAUUCAGACUUCAGUAAAAAAGAAAUAAGGAAGUUCAAUAUGUCGCACCACAGAGAGGAAAGAAAUGGCUGAAGAGAGGCAUCUAGUGUAGCGUAGCAAAGGGACAAUUUAUGACCACGUGUAGAUAGAUCUGAAGGGCAUAGUACAUUUUAUCACUAUUGUGAUGCAACAAAUGUUUUUCAACAUGCUAGAGUUUGUUUGAUGAGCUUGGUUAUCAUAUUAUUAAAAUUUUUCUUUCUUGUGGA
Molecule: unclassified non-coding RNA, 4744 nt
Filed under: Dermacentor andersoni
Lineage: Eukaryota; Metazoa; Arthropoda; Arachnida; Ixodida; Ixodidae
Description: mannosyl-oligosaccharide 1,2-alpha-mannosidase IA- like
Source: RNAcentral